Long non-coding RNA from Papaver somniferum (opium poppy), 422 nucleotides. RefSeq lists it as uncharacterized. NCBI's taxonomy places the organism in Eukaryota, Viridiplantae, Streptophyta, Magnoliopsida, Ranunculales, Papaveraceae. The transcript has 3 exons. The record is from RefSeq and is a predicted model, not a curated record.
UGCAUCUCUAUCUUCUUCUACUUUCAACCUUUCAAUUACCCUUUUUAAGUUGUAUCUUUAUCGAAUUGCAGAUCUUAAUGAACUAUCUGUUGAUAAUCUACGGACAUGCUGAUACUUUCACCUGUGAAUCGUGUUUGUUCCUAUCUAAAUAUCAUUGCUGAGUCCAGCGGUUUCAAAUGAUGUUUCCGAUGGGUUGUUCUAGCGCAGUCAUGCACGACGUACACAAUGUGUCUAUACAAACAGGUUGUUGGAGAAAUUGGUCGUCAUCUAUUACGGUUGAUUGAAUCAUUAAGGGAAAACUAUUAUUGUGAUAUUUCCAAAGUUGUAUUGUUAUGGGUAAUGCUAGAUGAUAGUGGCUCAAUUUUUGUACAAUAUCUUGAUAUACUUUUUCUCUAGCUCUCCCUAAUAGUUUAAGUUUUAGU